RNAcentral lists this ribosomal RNA (765 nucleotides) under Salmonella enterica subsp. enterica serovar Dublin. RNAcentral's name for it is "partial 23S ribosomal RNA". It matches the Rfam family "Bacterial large subunit ribosomal RNA", at positions 426 to 1190 of the family's 2925-position model. The record is from RNAcentral. Lineage: Bacteria; Pseudomonadati; Pseudomonadota; Gammaproteobacteria; Enterobacterales; Enterobacteriaceae.
GUGGUAUCCUGUCUGAAUAUGGGGGGACCAUCCUCCAAGGCUAAAUACUCCUGACUGACCGAUAGUGAACCAGUACCGUGAGGGAAAGGCGAAAAGAACCCCGGCGAGGGGAGUGAAAAAGAACCUGAAACCGUGUACGUACAAGCAGUGGGAGCACAGGUUUACCUGUGUGACUGCGUACCUUUUGUAUAAUGGGUCAGCGACUUAUAUUCUGUAGCAAGGUUAACCGAAUAGGGGAGCCGGAGGGAAACCGAGUCUUAAUUGGGCGUUAAGUUGCAGGGUAUAGACCCGAAACCCGGUGAUCUAGCCAUGGGCAGGUUGAAGGUUGGGUAACACUAACUGGAGGACCGAACCGACUAAUGUUGAAAAAUUAGCGGAUGACCUGUGGCUGGGGGUGAAAGGCCAAUCAAACCGGGAGAUAGCUGGUUCUCCCCGAAAGCUAUUUAGGUAGCGCCUCGUGAAUUCAUCUCCGGGGGUAGAGCACUGUUUCGGCUAGGGGGCCAUCCCGGCUUACCAACCCGAUGCAAACUGCGAAUACCGGAGAAUGUUAUCACGGGAGACACACGGCGGGUGCUAACGUCCGUCGUGAAGAGGGAAACAACCCAGACCGCCAGCUAAGGUCCCAAAGUCAUGGUUAAGUGGGAAACGAUGUGGGAAGGCCCAGACAGCCAGGAUGUUGGCUUAGAAGCAGCCAUCAUUUAAAGAAAGCGUAAUAGCUCACUGGUCGAGUCGGCCUGCGCGGAAGAUGUAACGGGGCUAAACCAU